This is a long non-coding RNA of Salvia miltiorrhiza (redroot sage), 556 nucleotides long. RefSeq lists it as uncharacterized. NCBI's taxonomy places the organism in Eukaryota, Viridiplantae, Streptophyta, Magnoliopsida, Lamiales, Lamiaceae. The record is from RefSeq and is a predicted model, not a curated record. The transcript is spliced from 3 exons.
UUAUUUUAUAUACUCACCUACUCCCUCCCACUACACCCACCUACUCCCUCCUUUUUAAAAAAAAGUUAACAUCACUACCCACUCCCACCACCAACUCCCUGCCAAACCCACUGAUAUACUUCACCCAUCCCCUUCCACUUUUACUCAAUCUCCCACACAAUUUGCCAUAUUUCACUUUCAAAAGGAAACCCAACGAACAAGUGCAGAGGCUUUGUGACCAGGGGGAUUAGCGCUGCUUUCCCAAGACAGGUUUAUAAGUGAUUAUGAUCUUCAGGCUUUGCCUAACCAGGUUGGCUGGCUGGUGCUGACGGGACGGAGCUGAGGCUAGAGUUAAAAUUCAUAUGUUAGACUUCCGCUGUAGCAAUUACUCUUAUACAUCUUUUGUUUUCUCAACUUAAGAUGACUUCAUGUCGAGCUUAAAUUUGAAAUUCUAGUUUUAUGUUAAUGAAUGUUGGUUGUCAGAAACAUGAAACAAAACUUGUGAUCCAAAGGGGCAUAGCCCGACUCUCUAUCUUAUUAUUCGGGUUUUAACAAGGUUGUUCCUUGUUUAUUUCUA